Aerococcus urinae is the source of this 2906-nucleotide ribosomal RNA. It matches the Rfam family "Bacterial large subunit ribosomal RNA". The record is from Rfam. NCBI's taxonomy places the organism in Bacteria, Bacillati, Bacillota, Bacilli, Lactobacillales, Aerococcaceae.
GGUUAAGUGAAUAAGGGCGUACGGUGAAUGCCUUGGCACUAGGAGCCGAUGAAGGACGGGACGAACACCGAUAUGCUUCGGGGAGCUGUAAGUAAGCUUUGAUCCGGAGAUUUCCGAAUGGGGGAACCUCAUUGUUUUUAUCGACAAUGGUCCACGCAGUGAACACAUAGCUGAGUGGAAGGUAGACGUGGUGAACUGAAACAUCUCAGUAGCCACAGGAAGAGAAAGAAAAAUCGAUUUCCCGAGUAGCGGCGAGCGAAACGGAAAGAGGCCAAACCAGCGUGCUUGCAUGCUGGGGUUGUAGGACUGAUGGACGGGAGUGAAUGAGCUAGUCGAACGCCAUGGAAAGGGCGAUCAGAGAGGGUGACAAUCCCGUAGGCGAAAGCUCAGCCACCUCAUUCAGUAUCCUGAGUACGGCGGUACACGUGAAAUUCCGUCGGAAUCCGCCAGGACCAUCUGGCAAGCCUAAAUACUCCCUAGUGACCGAUAGUGAACCAGUACCGUGAGGGAAAGGUGAAAAGCACCCCGGAAGGGGAGUGAAAGAGUACCUGAAACCGUAUGCCUACAAGCAGUCAGAGCCCGUUAAGGGGUGAUGGCGUACUUUUUGUAGAACGGACCGGCGAGUGACGAUAGCAAGCAAGGUUAAGCUGAAGAAGCGGAGCCACAGCGAAAGCGAGUCUGAAGAGGGCGUUGAGUUUGUUGUCGUCGACCCGAAACCAAGUGAUCUACUCAUGUCCAGGCUGAAGGUGUGGUAAAACACACUGGAGGGCCGAACCCACGUCUGUUGAAAAAGGCGGGGAUGAGGUGUGGGUAGCGGUGAAAUUCCAAUCGAACUUGGAGAUAGCUGGUUCUCUCCGAAAUAGCUUUAGGGCUAGCCUCGGAUGAUGACUAUUGGAGGUAGAGCACUGUUUGAUCGAGGGGUCCAUCCUGGAUUACCGACAUCUGAUAAACUCCGAAUGCCAAAUAGUUUAGUCCGGGAGUCAGACUGCGAGUGAUAAGAUCCGUAGUCGAAAGGGAAAGAGCCCAGACCACCAGCUAAGGUCCCAAAGUUUCAGUUAAGUGGAAAAGGAUGUGGGGUUGCUUAGACAACUAGGAUGUUGGCUUAGAAGCAGCCAUCAUUGAAAGAGUGCGUAAUAGCUCACUAGUCGAGUGACCCUGCGCCGAAAAUGUACCGGGGCUAAACUGAACACCGAAGCUGUGGAUCCGUAGGAUGGUAGGAGAGCGUUCUAUAGGCAGAGAAGCAUGAUCGUGAGGACAUGUGGAGCGUAUAGAAGUGAGAAUGCCGGUAUGAGUAGCGAAAGACGGGUGAGAAUCCCGUCCACCGAAUGACUAAGGUUUCCUGGGGAAGGCUCGUCCUCCCAGGGUUAGUCGGGACCUAAGCCGAGACCGAAAGGGAUAGGCGAUGGACAACAGGUUGAGAUUCCUGUACUUGUUUGAUUUGUUUGAGCGAUGGAAGGACACAGAAGGCUAAGCGGAGCGCGGAGAUGGAAAAACGCGUCCAAGCAAUGAGUGAGAAGGUGAGUGAAAGGCUUGCCUCAGACUUCAUGAGUUGUGACGGGGAGGGAAAUUUAGUACCGAAGCCGCCGACGUCACGCUGUCAAGAAAAGUUUCUAGUGAGAAUCAAACAACCCGUACCGCAAACCGACACAGGUAGUCGAGUGGAGAACACUAAGGUGAGCGAGCGAACUCUCGUUAAGGAACUCGGCAAAAUGACCCCGUAACUUCGGGAGAAGGGGUGCUGACCGCAAGGUCAGCCGCAGUGAAUAGGCCCAAGCGACUGUUUAUCAAAAACAUAGGUCUCUGCCAAAUCGAAAGAUGAUGUAUAGAGGCUGACGCCUGCCCGGUGCUGGAAGGUUAAGAGGAAGGGUUAGCCCUCGGGCGAAGCUCUGAAUUGAAGCCCCAGUAAACGGCGGCCGUAACUAUAACGGUCCUAAGGUAGCGAAAUUCCUUGUCAGGUAAGUUCUGACCCGCACGAAAGGCGUAACGAUUUGGGCACUGUCUCAACGAGAGGCUCGGUGAAAUUGUAGUACCAGUGAAGAUGCUGGUUACCCGCGACAGGACGGAAAGACCCCAUGGAGCUUUACUGUAGGUUGAUAUUGAAUGUUUGUGCCACAUGUACAGGAUAGGUAGGAGCCAUCGAAGUCGGGACGCUAGUCUCGAUGGAGGCACUGGUGGGAUACUACCCUUGUGGGAUGACCAUUCUAACCCGCGACCAUUAGCUGGUCGGGAGACAGUGUCAGUCAGGCAGUUUGACUGGGGCGGUCGCCUCCUAAAGUGUAACGGAGGCGCCCAAAGGUUCCCUCAGAAUGGUUGGAAAUCAUUCGCAGAGUGUAAAGGCAGAAGGGAGCUUGACUGCGAGACCUACAAGUCGAGCAGGGACGAAAGUCGGGCUUAGUGAUCCGGUGGUUCCGCAUGGAAGGGCCAUCGCUCAACGGAUAAAAGCUACCCUGGGGAUAACAGGCUUAUCUCCCCCAAGAGUUCACAUCGACGGGGAGGUUUGGCACCUCGAUGUCGGCUCAUCGCAUCCUGGGGCUGAAGUCGGUCCCAAGGGUUGGGCUGUUCGCCCAUUAAAGCGGUACGCGAGCUGGGUUCAGAACGUCGUGAGACAGUUCGGUCCCUAUCCGUCGCGGGCGUUGGAAAUUUGAGAGGAGCUGUCCUUAGUACGAGAGGACCGGGAUGGACACACCGCUGGUGUACCAGUUGUUCCACCAGGAGCAUGGCUGGGUAGCUAUGUGUGGACGGGAUAAGCGCUGAAAGCAUCUAAGCGUGAAGCCCCCCUCAAGAUGAGAUUUCCCAUACUUUUAAAGUAGUAAGACCCCUGAAAGACGAUCAGGUUGAUAGGUUUGGAGUGGAAGCUUAGCAAUAAGUGGAGCGGACAAAUACUAAUCGGUCGAGGACUUAUCCAA